RNAcentral lists this non-coding RNA (29 nucleotides) under Bombyx mori (domestic silkworm). Lineage: Eukaryota; Metazoa; Arthropoda; Insecta; Lepidoptera; Bombycidae. RNAcentral also lists the same sequence under 2 other names. The record is from RNAcentral.
UCAAUCUCUGACGAUGCAGGACUCACUGU